Lutra lutra (Eurasian river otter) is the source of this 3167-nucleotide long non-coding RNA. RefSeq lists it as uncharacterized. NCBI's taxonomy places the organism in Eukaryota, Metazoa, Chordata, Mammalia, Carnivora, Mustelidae. The transcript has 4 exons. The record is from RefSeq and is a predicted model, not a curated record.
CGCUGGGCCGCCCGCAGGUCCUGUGCAGUCUCGGGUCGAGUCCCGGGAAUGAGUGGUCUACUGGCUUAAGAGAGACUUCGGUGCUUCCCACCUAGCCGGGAAGACCUUUCACAUAUUGUUUCAACAUCCGACCAAGUCUUCCAAGUAUUCCAGGAAUCAGCCCAUACCCAGAAGACCUGUGUGUCACUCCCACUGCACCACCACACCUGGGGAUCUGCCUGCUUCAAACAAUCCUACAACCAACCCUUUGGAGUGCCUUCAUUCAAGCCUGUCCAGCUACAACACUAGAGGUUACCGUGGCAACCAAACCCACAGACAGCAGGUGACCAGAAAACAGCUGCCAACAGAGGAAGAGAAACACCCAAACUCCCCCAGACUCCUCUGGGAGACUGCUCUUGGCCCAGACCUCCCAGUGUAUACACCUUCUGCCCUCUGAUACCCUCUGCAUACUGGGAGUAGGGGAAUGGACUCAGCCCAAGCAGCAACACCUCCCUCUUCUCUGCCCAAAAGGGAUCUCUAGGCCAUUCCACUCCCCUACCUAUCUCCUGGAACCUGUUGGUGAUCUGACCACCCCUGCAUGCCAGCCCCUCUGGUCCAGUCUUCCCAGCUCAUUAGUAUCUACCACCAUCAGUUUCUCUUUUGCUUCAGAAGUGUUUAUGAGCCUCUUGGACAGGAAGGCUUGGUAAAGUGGGCUAUGUUUUCUCUGUCAUCACCCAAGCUGUCCUUCAGCCUCUAUAAUGCCUCCCUCAUAUAAGUGGCCUCAUAUAAGGCCACUGCCUUUGGUCCAGGAAGUCUCUAUUUUAACAGGCAUCCAUGCCCCAGGGAGGAGUUAAUUCCCAGGCCACCUGUUUCUGCACCUGUGAGUCACCCUCUCCCCAGGACACUGUGUCCCAAGAAAGUAUCAGUUUCUGCAGCGGACCUUGGGUCAGCCUCGGAGACCCCUCAAGGAAAGAACAGACCCUGGGAAGCAAGGGAAAGGCUGGCUGGAGAGCCACAGGCCUAUAUGCUCACCAGAGCAGAGAAAACAGAAAAGAGAGCCCUCAGGGAACAUCUGGUCCUGGGGCUUUCCCGGUACCUGUUGGGACUCUCUGCUACCUGUGGCCUCACUCACAGGCCAGUGGCCCGGCUUUGACCCUGUAGUACAGACAUGCCUCCUGGAGCUUGGGCCAAGCAGUCCCAGGACAGCCUCUGAUAGCAUCACAACCCUUUCUUCAGGCCUGUGGACACCCAGACAUAACUCUGUCAUCUGCACUCUAUUAUCGAUCUGCCAGUGAUCUUGGCAGAUCAGCUUACCGGGUCUGAGCAUUGACUUCCACAUCCAAAAGUGGGGUAAAAAUCCAUGCCCACUAAAUAUCGAGUUACAUGGAGAUAAAGUAAUAAGGAUAGGGGCGCCUGGGUGGCUCAGUGGGUUAAAGCCUCUGCCUUCGGCUCAGGUCAUGAUCCCAGGGUCCUGGGAUCGAACCCUGCAUUGGGCUCUCUGCUCAGCGCGGAGCCUGCUUCCCCCUCUCUCUCUGCCUGCUUCUCUGCCUGCUUGUGAUCUCUGUCUGUCAAAUAAAUAAAAUCUUAAAAAAAAAAAAAAAAAGAAUAAACCCAUGGGAAGGUUAGAAAGGGCACAGGGGCUUCAGCCUCAAGAGAACUGUAGGGAAAGAACUGUGGGUGGAGAUGGUAUGACCUUACAACAGAAAAUGGCACUACUGUUGCUUCUAAUAGGCUUGUUGCAACAUUCCACUGGCUGCCCCUCACCUUUGACCCAGUUAUACUCUUCUUUGUGCCUGGGUGAGGCUGUUAUCACCGACUGGUUGUUUUAACACCUGCUGUCUGGCUUCUAAAUGCUGCCUAUGACAGAGAAAUUGUUGAGGAGGGCCCCAGCCUUUCCCCCACCCUCACCCCCAUCACGGACAGCAGAGAUAUAUCAGGAACAGGUGGCAUUUCAAAGUGCAUCAUAAAAAGGAAGUGCCAGCCAAGAGGGACUUACUCACCAUCUGCUCUGCUCCCUUCACAAAUACGUCUCCUGGGGCUCCCCUAUUUGACUUAACACCUAUCGAACAACCAAAGGAGUAGAAGAAUCUAUCACCACUAACAUCAAGGAAACGAAACAUUCCAUUUUAAAAUAGAAGCUGUUUCAAAGGGCAAAUUAGCCAGACGCAAGGACUGUAAAAGUGAUCCUGAGCCAUGGGAAUGGCUGUCAUUUGGCUAGAAUGCAAAUGCACUCACAGGGGCUUCCAGGCAAAGGCUGGGGUUGCAGGAUUAGCUCAAGGACAGGCUGCUGCCAACAGCUUCAAGAAACACUUAUGCGGCCUUCUCCAAACCAGAGAGAGAUUAAAUAAAGACAUCCUGCAGCAUUAGGGAGCAGGCAUAACACUGAAUUAAUCUUCCUAGGCAGAGGGCACACAAUUUUCAUCUCUGAACAAUGUUAUUUGUUGUUUUUGCUUGACCAUAAUUCCUUUCUGGUCACCCAAGAAUAUCUUCCCAGGAAUAAAGUAUCCUUCCUUAAACCCCCAAAUCUUUAGCUUCCUGCCAGGCUGGCCACGCCCACUCUCAGAUGGGGGUGGGUCCCUGCCCCCUCAUCCCCUUAUGCAGAGUCAUGGCACUAAAGCCAAAGUCCCAGGGUCUCCCUGCAGCUGCGGCAAGGUGGGACGUACCAGCAGAACUGUAACUGUGACUGCCAGGUGGGACAAUGCCAGAGAAGCCCAGCUCUGGUAGCCUUGCCAGCCACCAGACAAGGACAAAUUAACUUGGCUCCCUUACCACCUCUGGAUGUACCUGUGCAUCACCAAAAGUCUAAUUAGCAAAGCCCGGCUGGUGACAUCAGAUCACAGUGACCCCCAAACUCCUAUGAUAAGUCAGGAGUGCUUCUGGCUUUUAGAACAAUCAACUCUCUGUUAGCUCAGGGCAGAGAGGUGAAAGAGUAAAAGGAAGGGCUGCAGGCUUGUACUGAGGGCUAUGGGAAUAGUUAGCAAUCAAGCUCCCCCACUUCCCCAUCAGGCAGUUGCUGCUAGGGCAGUCGGAAGGCUGGGCUAGCCUAAACUUCCUCUUCUUCCUCCUCCUAAAUCCCCUGCCUGGAGCCACCAAGAAGGAUACCAGAUCCCUGACAACUUCCACCAAAGCCACAGGCUGCCUGCUGAAAUGACCCAGAAUCAAAAUAAUUUCACACAAUGCAAAAAUUA